Non-coding RNA from Anas platyrhynchos (mallard), 2107 nucleotides. Lineage: Eukaryota; Metazoa; Chordata; Aves; Anseriformes; Anatidae. The record is from the annotation of a RefSeq genome assembly.
CUGGGGCAGAGGUGUGCCCCAAGGAGCAGCAGAAGGAGAGCUUUGCUCCACCCUCUGUGCUGGGGUUCAGAGGCUGCUUUGAGCUGGCAGAGGGAGAACUGAAUUCACAAGCUUGAGCUCCCUCUUUCCGGACACUACGUGGGCAUGCUGUGAAGGCUAGAGCGUGACAUGGUCCUGCUUUUCCUGGCAGCCUUGUUGGCACUGUCAGACUUUGGUCAUGCACAAGACUCUGUGGUGCAGUUUGCCCAAGAAACUGCCAUCCAGGUGGGACACAAUGCAACUCUGCACUGCAAUUUCUCCACCAGCAGCUCUCUUCCCUAUAUCUUCUGGUACCAGCAGCGCCUGACCCAGUCCCCUCAGUUCUUGCUGCAGGUGAGCAAGUUCAAGCCUCAUGUGCAUUCUGAGAGGAUCUCCUCUGUGCUCUCCAUGGAGAACUCCCAGGUGCUUCUCCACGUGCAAGAUGCCAAGCUCCAGGACAGCGCUGUCUACCUGUGUGCACUGAGCCCACACUGGUGCCCUCAGCUUGCAGCUUUAUACAGGAAGGUGCGGGUGCUGUGAGGUGCAGUUCCCUCUCAUCACAGUUUGCAUGGAGCUCUGAGCUGAGCCUGCCCAGCAAGGACACCUGGGGCUUGUGGUGAGCCAGGUGUGAGUGGCAGCCCCUGCUCCUGAUGCCUGGCAGUGUGGUUAGCAUAACCAACAGUAAGGCAAAUAUCCAGAAUGUGGAAGGGGGCUGUUAAUGUGCACCUCUGCCUCCUUGUCUCUCCUCUUCACUGGCCCCAGUGUGUGGAGACAGCCAUUGUUGUGGUGAGAAAGGGCACUGGUGUUAUCAAGCCCUCAGUGCUGAGUCACCACGAGGGUGUGGGGAGCAGCUAUUGAAUGGGGGAUUAAACCCAUCAGUGUUAUCAAUACCCAGGUUCUGGGUUGGCAGGAGAUGGUGACACCUUUUUGGGAAUAGGGAAGAAUAACAGCACAGCAAGCCCUGUCUAUAAAAUCAGGCAGCAGCAAUUCCUAAGUGGGAGUUAGUGCAGGACUGUUGUUGGAAGGCAAAGCCUGUGAUCCCUGCUGGUCAGGGAUGUAUCCACCAUUGUCUUUUUCCUCUGAGGACUGAGUGAGCGACUAGUGUUCAUUUAUGUAAAGCAUGUUUCCAAGCUGUGAGUUUAUCACAUGGUGAUAGGUGAUCUGCAGAGGGUCUGUCCUGGUGACUAAAUCUUAUGUAACUGAGCCUCCUAAAAAUGUAGUGCAACUCUACUCUGUGAUAAACACUAGAAACUGUAGAAAGAACCUGCCUGUGUUCUGUAGUGUUGGGUGACAGAAUUGUGAGUAGUCAGCAGGAUCAUUGUAUUAGAAUAAUGAAUGCUUCCCUUGACAAAUGGGCCACACUGUGGAAGCAUUUUCUUGGAAAUGGAUGGCAAUAUCCAAAGCAGGAAAGGCUAAGGUCAAUAAGCCACCAUCCAAAUGCUGCAGGGAAUUAACUAACUACAUAGCAAGAUUUGUAAGGUAAGGAAAGGGAAAAGGAAAGAAGGUGUUGGUUGUCAGAUGCAUUGUGGAAAAUUAAGAAGGAAUGGGCUGGAAGUUUAGAGGAAGAAAACAGAAGGUUGAAAAGGGAAUUAGUUGACAAAUAAAAAUGCCUUCCGCCCAUGCAGUACAUCAUUUUUUGGAGAAAGAAUAUUCACGCUGCCUGGAGGGUUUGAAAGGAACAGUUGGGGUCUGCAGGGUUUGGAGUGUCAUUCCUGUGGGUGUCUGAGUCCUCCACCUUCACGAUAUGCUGAGGUAUGGGGGAAGACAGUGCAAUGGUCCCAAUAGUUGCCAAGCCUGACAAGGUGUUAGUGGUGGUGAUAGAGGGGGCCCAAGCAUCAGGGAAGCCAAGACUGCCACGGAUGUAGCCCUGGGUGGGUGCCCCCUGUGGUCUAUCAGUGUGAGUGCAGGAGACCCACUGAUCCCAUAUCCUUUUCCCUGCUGACUGCCCACCCCUACAGAAUUGAUUGUCCUUGUCCCCUCUGGGCUUUUAGUACCUCACACCCCAUUAAAGCCAGGUUCCUGUUGCAAAAGCUAGGUUAUCCUGCCAGAACAGGACACAGAAUGAGACACUGGGCUGCUACACAGCAUG